RNAcentral lists this ribosomal RNA (468 nucleotides) under uncultured bacterium. RNAcentral describes it as "partial 16S ribosomal RNA". It matches the Rfam family "Bacterial small subunit ribosomal RNA", at positions 28 to 507 of the family's 1533-position model. The record is from RNAcentral.
GACGAACGCUGGCGGCGUGCUUAACACAUGCAAGUCGAACGGAAAGGCCCUGCUUUUGUGGGGUGCUCGAGUGGCGAACGGGUGAGUAACACGUGAGUAACCUGCCCUUGACUUUGGGAUAACUUCAGGAAACUGGGGCUAAUACCGGAUAGGAGCUCCUGCUGCAUGGUGGGGGUUGGAAAGUUUCGGCGGUUGGGGAUGGACUCGCGGCUUAUCAGCUUGUUGGUGGGGUAGUGGCUUACCAAGGUUUUGACGGGUAGCCGGCCUGAGAGGGUGACCGGCCACAUUGGGACUGAGAGACGGCCCAGACUCCUACGGGAGGCAGAAGUGGGGAAUAUUGCACAAUGGGCGGAAGCCUGAUGCAGCGACGCCGCGUGCGGGAUGACGGCCUUCGGGUUGUAAACCGCUUUCGCCUGUGACGAAGCGUGAGUGACGGUAAUGGGUAAAGAAGCAACGGCUAACUACGUG